Mobula hypostoma (lesser devil ray) is the source of this 7608-nucleotide long non-coding RNA. RefSeq lists it as uncharacterized. The transcript has 5 exons. NCBI's taxonomy places the organism in Eukaryota, Metazoa, Chordata, Chondrichthyes, Myliobatiformes, Myliobatidae. The record is from RefSeq and is a predicted model, not a curated record.
UCACAGUCCCACAUCCUGUGGGUUGGAGUUGAUGUUGUUGCUGCUGGAAGGAACACAAAUUCUUUCUUCCCUCAAACCAGUCUGCGAGAAGCUGCAAACUGUGGGUUCUUCUUUCGGUAAAGGCGCGAAAGGCCAUGACAUUAUCCAACACUUGAACUAUUGUUCUUUACAGCUAAACUCUUGGCGGUUGGUUCUUCUUAAGUGGAAAGAUGCUGCCUCACCCACUCACGCUCAAUGGCUUAAUGAUAUUAUGGCCUGUUUAGACCUCAAAAAGCUUCAUUAUUCACUUCUUAAUUUGGAUAUAAAGUUUCAUAAGGUGUGGGGACCUUUUCUUGAAUAUUUCCACAGUUCUUCUUUAGGAUGCUGCCUGGCCUGCUGCGUUCACCAGCAACUUUGAAGAUUAUUAAGGGAUUGGACACGCUGGAGGCAGGGAGCAUGUUUCCGCUGAUGGGUGCCGAUGCCUACAAAUGGGUCUCAAAUGACGGACGUAGAUAGUUCAUUUAGAGAAUUCAUUUCUUCUGAACGGGCUGGUCGAAGGGAUGCAUUACCUGACAUAACAGAUUUGCAGGAGCCUUCAAGGGACGACGUGGUCAAAAGCAGUUUAACUGUAAACAUGACAAAGCUUACAAUCAAAUCCGAAGAAUGCACUGAAGAUACAAAGCCUGUUACAGAAUCACAGACUCCUUGUCAAGUAGAGAACCAGGAGACAUCCCCUCAGUGCAAGGAUGGUUGUGAAAACCAAUGAUGAAUGCAAAUCUGGUUUUGAUCAUCCAAGAGCUAAGAAUUUCUCAGAAUAUAAUUCAUUCCAAUACCAAAAGAAUAUUUUGAAGAGUUGUAGAAUUCAAAGGAAAUGGUGCAUUUGAUUUAUUGACACCAAUUAGCAUUUGUGAUUUAUGUUCUAAACACUGAUAUAUUUUACUGCAGCUAAGGUACAAGAUAAUUGGUUUCUGUAGAUUAAAAAUAAAAUUGAAGUUGUUGCAUUUAAUUGAAUAACAUUUAAUGUUUAUACAGAUUAUUUGAUUCCUUUCAGAUCUCUUGAUAUGUUAAACCUAGACAUUAAUUUGUAAGAAAUUUGGAAAAAUAUUAUCAGACACUUCAUAAUAUCAAUUGGGGACCAGAACUCCACAAAAAAAAUUUGUAGAUAUUCCACUGUGUGAUGCAAGUCUUCAUUAAAAAAAUAGCACAUGUUAUUUAUAGUCAAAGGUAUGCAGGUACCAUCAGUCAUUACAUUUGCCCAUUUCUGGGUAUUUGCAAUGGAACUUGCUAUGAAUAGGUAAUCAUUUUGGAGCAGUAAAUUCUAUAGCGGAUUUAGAAGCAGUGAACAGAGAAAACAACUGAAUUUCUUCCUGACCAAUCAUUUGAAGACUGGUUAGUGAACAUCAGAGUCUGAGCCAGGAAAUAUACAUUAGAAUCAUUUAUUCAAUAAUAUGUACAGGCUCGAGACAGACUUUAAUGUACAGAAAAUGGGACAGACAGAAAGAAAGUUAGUAUUGAAAGAGGAAUAAAAGUGAGACAGAGUACACUAAUUUCAUGCUUGUUGUAAUUUAAUGCCUCAUGUUUAGAUGGCCGUAUAAAAAAAUUCUAGAGUAGCAGGGUAACUCCAUAUGCUAUCUUCUGAUUGCCGCAUGUAACUAAACAUGUAAGAUAACAGGAUAUUAAUAAUAAGUACUAAAAGUUUCACUUAUUUCUACAGCAAAAUCCAGUCUCCACUAACUUGCAAAAACAUAAGAUAAAUUAGUUCCUUUAUAUACAAAGUAUCUGGUAUUCUAGACAUUUUAAAUUUCACUUGGUAUAGUUGUAUGAAAAUCAAUAAAUGCAGUCUAGAUUCAAAAGUCUUAAUCUACGCAUAGUGUAAAACAAAUUCAUUACACUAGCACAUGGUUAAAUUGAAUACACACUGUUUGAAUUGAAUGCAAGUCCUUCCAAAGCCAGUUGCUGAUCAAUUGGUCUGCUUGCAAAAAAAUUUAUUCUCUCAUUGAAGAAGUGGAUUUCUUUACUCUGAGGCCUCUUCAGUUUGUGCAUCAAAGAUUUCAAUGUAAAAACUGAAGGAACUGGUUGAAAAAAAUAACAAAAUCGAAGACACAUUUAAUCCUUCAGGUGGCCAAAGGUGUAUUGUUGAGAGGUAGGAAUCGACUUAAGAAGGUGGAAUUCAACAUAAAUAAGUACAAAAUGAUGCAUUUUGGUUGGGCAACAAUUUAAAAAAUUCUUCCUGGAAUGGAAGUACGUUCAGUGCUAUGGAAAAAUAAAUUUGGAGGUUUGUUUUCACAGAGCAAUAAAGAGAGCCUUUUUAAUUAUUUAGUAUGUUUUUAUGGAAAGGGGAUUUUGGGGUUUUAUGAUACCAAAUAUCCUAAAUGAAAUUGUGACCCUAAUUUUUUAAGUAAGUCAUUGAGGGAGAGGGGGGGAGAGGGAGGGAGAGAUAGAGAGAGUAGUGCAGCACAGAUACAGGCGCUUUGGUUAAUCAAAGCCACACCAAUCAUCAAGCGCUCAUUUUUACAUAAGUCCCACCCUGACCUAUAGAUUUCUCCUCACAUCCCUUUGUUGCUUUACACUGUUCACCAGGGGAUUUUUUGUUCUGAGUUCCUGAACUUGUAGGCUGUACAUUCAAAAACACAAAAAUAUCCCAAUUCACUUCAUUGGUGUAGUAACAAAUAGAAAAAUAACAUUGAUAUUAUAAAGAAAUUAAUAAGGAGGACCAAAUAAAUGAUUAGAACAAUGGGUUUGAAGGACUUUCCUGAAUUGAGUAUGAAGAAAAAUUCAGAGUUUGGGCCAUUUUCUAGGCAAAGGGCUGUCACCAAUAAUAAUGUGACUAAAUUUUAUAUAAGUUCAAGAGAGUAGAAUUGGAGGAAUGCAGAUAUUUCUGACAGAGAUGGGGGAGAGUAUACAUACAGAGGGAUACAACUCGUAAGGACUUUAAAACAAGGAUGAAAAUUUUAAGUUCAUGCAUAAUUGGGAGCCAGGAUCAAUCAUCAAGUACAGAGGAAAUGGUUGGAUCAGACUUGAUUAGAGUUUGGGUAAAAACAGCAGAGAGUAUCAGCUGGAUUAGUUUGGUCAAAGGUAACACAAUCAUAGAUGAGGGCAUCAGAGGCAGAUGAGUCAAGGCAGGGAUGGUGAAUAUGUGAUAAUCUGAAUCAGGUUUAGGUCCAAAUCUCAGGAUUAAGUGGGAUGAUAGGGUCGUGAACAGUAUGUAUUGUUUCUGGACAAAUGCCAUGCCAUUGCGUACCUGGGGAAAGAGGAUUCACGUGGUGAUUUAAGGUUCUGAGAUCAGUCUUUCCAAUGCUUAGUCAUCUGGAUUAGUGCUUGGUCCAUGUCCACAUUCAUUUGGAAGGAAUUUUGUCCUGUGUUUUCAGAGGAUGAUGUCAGGCAUCAGUGCUUAAUUAGAUAGGACAUUAUUUACCAAAAGUCAGUGGAAAUACUGUUUAUGGAGCAUGAUUGAAGUUUCCAUCAAGAUAAUAGCAGAAAAUUGGGGUAAACACUGUGGACUUUAGCAAAGUUUCAGUGGACAGUCAGAGUACUGUUUAUGCCUGAUAGGUGAAAAUGCAAGGCACUAAUCUGCCACCUUGAAUGGGUUUAAGUACGCAGCAAGUGGCAUUACUUUCUGUGGCAAUUUGGGCUUUUAUCCAUUAGACAAUGGGUGAUAUAACAAAAUCUCUUAAAAAUGUCAGGUUCCUAGAGAGUUACUCUGGAGAAAUUUAGAAUGAGUGUCCAAAGAGGCAAGACUAAAUGUGGAAGACUUAGAACAGAGUAAGAGGAAUCCUGUUGCACAAAAUGUCGAACCUUAAGAUUCAUUUCCAUCAUAAACAGUAUCAAGUUAGUCAGGAAUUUCUUUAUAGCUGUCUCCUUGGGGAUGAUUCUUAAACAUUGAACUAGAAACUCUAAUUAGCAGUUAUGAAAUGUGGAUUUCCUCUGUAUUUUUACCAAUGUCAUGUAUAAGAAUAAUUUUGUGAAAAUGCUAGGCUGUUGCUAAUGGUGGAUGAAUGAGAAGGUAUAAAAAUAUGGGAAAAAUUUGAUUAUGCCUUUAUAUGUAUAAUUGCAUUAUUUAAACUGAGAAAUUUUGUGAGCAGGUUAUUUAUCCCUUGAAAAGCUGUUCUGCAAUUUAGUGAAAUUACUACUGACCAUGACUAAAAACCCAUAAACCUGCCUUUGCCACAUAUUCCUUAAUAUCUUAGUGAUAGUUAACAAAUUCCACGACACAUGCCGGUGAUAAUAAACCUGAUUCUGAUUCUGAUAGUAUAUUAGUGUCAGUCUUGAAAUUGACAAUCCACCAAACAAGCUCUUUGCAGAAGAAACUGUUCCCAUCACUCCUGAAUGACACGGCACUACUUUAAUUUUAUUUCCCAUUCCCAGCAGCUAUAACCAAUUGAAGAAGGAGAAAUACCACUGGUUUCCUGUAAUAUCUUGAAAAUAUAAACUGACUAAUUAGCCAUCAUUAAGCAUCAAAAUUUCAGGGAACAUAAACUUAUUUUGCUUUCAUAUUUCCUUAUAACAUAGAAGGCCACUUUGGCCCAUCAAAUUCAUGCUGGUCUACAAAGCAAUCCUUUUCCCCCCACUAAUAUUCCAAGUACAAGUAGUUUCCAGGCUAUAACAGGGUUCAGUUUCCAAUAAUUCUUUAGAUAGAUAGAUAUGUUAUUGAUUCCAAAGGAAGUUACAGUGUCACAGUAGCAUUACAAGUUCACAGAUAUGCAAUAUUAGAAGAGAAGUACAAAUGUUUGUAAGAAGAAUAAAUAAAAAAUAAGUUACCUUAAACAGGUGGAGGGGUCAUCACUCUGGCUAUAGGUUGAUUCAUUAUAGAGCCUUAUGGCUAAGGGUAAGAAUGACCUCAUAUAGUGCUCUUUGGAGCAGCGCAGUUGUCAGUCUGUUACUGAAAUUGCUCCUCUGUUCUGCCAAGGUAACAUGCAAAGGCUGAGAAACAUUGUCCAGAAUUGCCAGGGUUUUCCGUAGGGUCCUUUGUUCUACCACAGCCUCCAGUAUGUCCAGUUUGACUCCUAUAACAGAGCAGGACUUUCUAAUCAGUUUAUUGAGCCUAUUGGCAUCACCCGUGUUGAUGCCAUUGCCCCAGCACACUACCGCAGGGAAGAUUGUACUGGCAAUAACAGACUGGUAGAAUGUUUGAAGACGAGGCCUGCAUACUCCAAAGGACCUCAGUCUCCUCAGGAAGUAGUGUCAAAAAUGUCAAGAAAUGAACUGAAAAAAAGCUUCUGAGAGAGGAUCACAGAAAAUGACUGUGACAGGACAGUGAGCGGUCUCAAGCAUUCCCAAUUCCCUUUGCCUUAACCGAGCUCCCAAUUGCUGUGCAAGGAUGAGGGAAGAAGAGAAGUGGAAAUAUACCAUUUACACCUGGUAGAAGAUACCUGCAGCCUCACACCAGCCAGCAAAUCCAUCCCCCCAGUCUCCCAGAUGCUCGCUCCUUUGUAGGGAGUUUGUAAUCUGGAGAGGACCUAUAAUUUACCCACAUUCUCAUCAAUUUUGCCUCCCUCCCUCCCCUCCCCCCACCAAUUCACUCACUAAACUACCCCACUAGGGACAAUUUAGGGGUCAAUUUGCUUACAAACCUGCAUACCUUGAGGAGAUGGGAGCUCCAGGAUGAAACCCCUGGCAUUAUAGAGAGAAAGCACAUACUGACAGAACCACGGGGUCAGGGUUGAAUCUUGCUCACCGAAGCAGUGGGGCAGUAGAUCUGCUAGCUUUAUCACCUUUGUGUAAUCUAGCCGUACAAUUAAUCAUUUAGAAUCGAAGUAUCAUUCCAAAUCAUCUAUACACUAAGCCUCUAGAAGGACUUGUUACUCUUCGAGGGAGCAGGGUCCAGGAAUGCUCAAUCUUUCAGGUAUGAUCCAACCCUGUUUUUGUUAAUCUGCAGCAUAAAAUCUAUUCCUUUAUUAUCCUUUAAAUAUAUAGGACAGUAUUACAUUAACAUUUCAGGUAUUUUCUAUAUUUGUGCAUGUUAUUUUACUGAUCCUUGUGAAGAUGCUACCAAGUCCCUUCUGGAGCAUCUCCAUAUCUAAGUUAUUGCUUAGAAUUUCUGUUUUAUCCUUGUGUCCUUGUACUUGUGUAUAAGAUGAUGAGAGGCACUGAUCAUGUGGAUAGUUAGAGGCUUUUUCCCCAGGGCUGAAAUGGCUAACACUAGAGGGCACAGUUUUAAGGUGCUUAGAAGCAGAUGCAGAGGAGAUGUCAGGGUUAAAUUUUUUACACAGAGAAAGGUGAGUGCGUGGAAUGGGCUGCUGGCAACCAUGGUGGAGGCGGAUACGAUAGAGUAUUUUAAGAGACUCCUGGAUAGGUACAUGGAGUUUAGAAAAAUAGAGGGCUAUGGGUAACCCUAGGUAAUUUCUAAAGUAAGUACAUAUUCGGCAUAGCAUUGUGGGCCAAAGGGCCGAUAUUGUUCCAUAGGUUUUCUAUGUUUCUAUAUUAUCUCUAUUGAAAUCUAUUUGCCACAGUUAUGCCCAUUGGCCUAUCUAUUGAUACCUCUUUGUAAUCCCCUGCUUCUACCUACUCUGUUUAUAAUGCUACCAAUCGAUAUGCUAUGGAGAAGUUUUCUAGCUCAUCAUCUGUUUACAAUUGUUGAGAUUAGUUCAGGCUCAUUAAUCAUGUAGUAACAGGAUACCAUUAAUCAUGUAAUACUAGUAAAGUAUCAACUCUGUCACUACUCUGUCCCUUGGUAUUUGGCCAAUUUCCUGAUGACUGCUAGAACAAAAAUGUACAUUCUACACAGAAUGUAAUGCCAUAAGGAUGUGAUGUUAUAUUUUCUUCCAGUGGAAUUCUACACAGGAAACAGUAUUGCAAAACUAUAAUCAUUCAUUGUCACUUUGGUAAGCUUUUCAGGUACACUAAGCAUUAUUUAAAUUACUUGCAUUAAGUUUGCUAUUACAAGGUAAGCAAUUAGUUGUUUGUAUGUGUUUCACCAUUCCUAUUUAGCAAUCUCUCAAGGACCACAUUUAUAUGCAUAGUACAUCACUAUUUCCUUGCUGCACGAUGGCAUGACAUUAAUUCAUUAGAUCUUUUUAACCCUGAUUAAGUUGGAGCAUUGCCAUCCUAUAUACAUUCUCAGAGCUGUCUGGUAUAUGUGGACUAUUUUGUUCUAAACAGCUACAGAAGCAGUGUUUAAAUUUUUAUUCACAAUUAAAGGAUAGCUUUAUUAUGUUCUAGUGUACAUUCAAGUUAUUUUGUCUAAACAGCUCUAGAAACAGAAUCUAAAUUAAUAUUCACUAUUAAAGGAUAACUUUAUUAUGUUCUACAGCAUAUAUUCAAGUUCCAUAUUCUCGCAAUGUAUGAAAUUAACUGUCCCUGUUUAAGAAGGCUUUGCAUGGACAGUUAGAAUGAGAGUAUUUCAGUAUGUGGAUUUUUAAACUGAUAAACCAAGUCUAAAAAUGACAUUUAUUAAUAAAGCUAUUCAUAAAAUGCAUAAAUUUAAUAAUUAAACAGAAACAUUGGGAACAAGAAUCCCAUUAAUUACUGUUUAUUUAUUUUUCAUUGUUAUGUAAUGUGAAUUGAAAAAAUACUCAACUAUUGAUGAAAGAGACUUAGGUAUUGCUACAUCUUCCUGCUUGAAGCAACUUAUGUAAAUAUGCCUGCCAUUUAAUAAAGUUAUUUAUACGAUUUAUUUUGAAAGUACUAUUU